RNAcentral lists this ribosomal RNA (499 nucleotides) under Lerista viduata. Its description in RNAcentral is "partial 16S ribosomal RNA". It matches the Rfam family "Bacterial large subunit ribosomal RNA", at positions 1837 to 2590 of the family's 2925-position model. The record is from RNAcentral. Lineage: Eukaryota; Metazoa; Chordata; Lepidosauria; Squamata; Scincidae.
ACACAAGUAUUAAAGGUCCUGCCUGCCCAGUGAACAAUUUUAAACGGCCGCGGUAUUCUAACCGUGCAAAGGUAGCGUAAUCACUUGUCUUCUAAAUAAAGACCAGUAUGAACGGCUAAAUGAGGACAGACCUGUCUCCUACAAUUAAUCAGUGAAACUGAUCUCCCAGUCCAAAAGCUGGAAUAUAAACAUAAGACGAGAAGACCCUGUGGAGCUUAAAAUUUACCUGGUAAUAAACAACCAGCAUAAGAUUUUAAGUUGGGGCGACUUCGGAAUAAAACAAAACUUCCAAGCACAGAACCACCAGUUCUAACCAAGGCAGACAAGCCAAAGCAAACAGCCGACCCAGUCACACUGACCAACGAACCAAGUUACCCCAGGGAUAACAGCGCCAUCCUCUUCAAGAGUCCUUAUCGACAAGAGGGUUUACGACCUCGAUGUUGGAUCAGGGCACCCAAAUGGUGCAGCCGCUAUUAAAGGUUCGUUUGUUCAACGAUUA